Molecule: small nucleolar RNA, 104 nt
Organism: Aspergillus niger
Lineage: Eukaryota; Fungi; Ascomycota; Eurotiomycetes; Eurotiales; Aspergillaceae
Rfam family: A. fumigatus snoRNA Afu_304
Source: Rfam
UUUUAUGAUGAAUAAGAGUUUUACUCGAAAUAACCCAGCUCGUCGAAUGUCUCAAAUUUUUUUCCAACGUAGAGGCAUCAUGAGAUUACGUCCCGUCUGAUUUA